CCCCCGGUGUGUUACUGAUAUUUUAAGAACAAGCCAUACCCCAAAUCGUUUCUGCUGAGGCAUUCCUGGUGCCUCCUGAUUUGGUAGGGUACGGGAGAGCACUGAAAAGGCCCUCUGCUGACUUGAGACAGAAGGCAAAAGUUGAUGAAUUCCAGCUUUGUGGCCACGUGGUGUCAGAUGAAUAUGAAGGCCUGGAGGUAAAGAGUUGUGGCAAGAAUCACUUUCAUAUUCAAGUGAGGCUCUGCCCUUUCCAUGCCAUCUGAGCCAACAAGAUGUCCUGUGCUGGGGCUGACAGGCUUCAGACAGGUAUGAGUGAGUGGUGCCUUUGGGAAUCCCAGGUCCAGUGGCCAGGGUUUAUGUUGGCCAGGUCAUCAUGUCCAUCCAUACCAAGCUGCAGAGUAAGGAACAUGUGAUUGAGACUACAUAGAGCCAAGUUCAAGUUCUCUGACUACCAGAAGAUCCACGUCUGAGAGAAGUAGGGUAUCACCAGGUUUAAUGCAGAUGAAUUUUGAAGACAUGGUCUCUGAAAAGCAGCUCAUUUCUGAUAGCAUCACAAAAAUCCCCAGGAGCAGUCCCCUAGACAAGUGGCAGGCCCUGCAUUUUUGA
RNAcentral lists this long non-coding RNA (606 nucleotides) under Mus musculus (house mouse). RNAcentral's name for it is "long non-coding RNA chr2:74855705-74856311". The record is from RNAcentral. Lineage: Eukaryota; Metazoa; Chordata; Mammalia; Rodentia; Muridae.